RNAcentral lists this ribosomal RNA (513 nucleotides) under uncultured Gram-positive bacterium. Its description in RNAcentral is "bacterial SSU rRNA". It matches the Rfam family "Bacterial small subunit ribosomal RNA", at positions 8 to 521 of the family's 1533-position model. The record is from RNAcentral.
AGAGUUUGAUCCUGGCUCAGGAUGAACGCUGGCGGCGUGCUUAACACAUGCAAGUCGAGCGAAGCACUUUUGCGGAUUUCUUCGGAUUGAAGCAACUGUGACUGAGCGGCGGACGGGUGAGUAACGCGUGGGUAACCUGCCUCAUACAGGGGGAUAACAGUUGGAAACGGCUGCUAAUACCGCAUAAGCGCACAGUACCGCAUGGUACCGUGUGAAAAACUCCGGUGGUAUGAGAUGGACCCGCGUCUGAUUAGCUAGUUGGUGGGGUAACGGCCUACCAAGGCGACGAUCAGUAGCCGACCUGAGAGGGUGACCGGCCACAUUGGGACUGAGACACGGCCCAAACUCCUACGGGAGGCAGCAGUGGGGAAUAUUGCACAAUGGGGGAAACCCUGAUGCAGCGACGCCGCGUGAGCGAUGAAGUAUUUCGGUAUGUAAAGCUCUAUCAGCAGGGAAGAAAAUGACGGUACCUGACUAAGAAGCCCCGGCUAACUACGUGCCAGCAGCCGCGGU